This 21-nucleotide microRNA is filed under the name Physcomitrium patens. Its description in RNAcentral is "ppt-miR2078". Lineage: Eukaryota; Viridiplantae; Streptophyta; Bryopsida; Funariales; Funariaceae. The record is from miRBase by way of RNAcentral.
GGUUGGCUUGCCUGUGCCUGU